GCAGUCGAGCGGUAAGGCCCUUCGGGGUACACGAGCGGCGAACGGGUGAGUAACACGUGGGUGAUCUGCCUCGCACUCUGGGAUAAGCCUGGGAAACUGGGUCUAAUACCGGAUAUGACCACGGAUCGCAUGGUUUGUGGUGGAAAGAUUUAUCGGUGCGAGAUGGGCCCGCGGCCUAUCAGCUUGUUGGUGGGGUAAUGGCCUACCAAGGCGACGACGGGUAGCCGACCUGAGAGGGUGACCGGCCACACUGGGACUGAGACACGGCCCAGACUCCUACGGGAGGCAGCAGUGGGGAAUAUUGCACAAUGGGCGAAAGCCUGAUGCAGCGACGCCGCGUGAGGGAUGACGGCCUUCGGGUUGUAAACCUCUUUCGACAGGGACGAAGCGCAAGUGACGGUACCUGUAGAAGAAGCACCGGCCAACUACGUGCCAGCAGCCGCGGUAAUACGUAGGGUGCGAGCGUUGUCCGGAAUUACUGGGCGUAAAGAGCUUGUAGGCGGUUCGUCGCGUCGAUUGUGAAAACUUGCAGCUCAACUGCAAGCUUGCAGUCGAUACGGGCGGACUAGAGUACUUCAGGGGAGACUGGAAUUCCUGGUGUAGCGGUGAAAUGCGCAGAUAUCAGGAGGAACACCGGUGGCGAAGGCGGGUCUCUGGGAAGUAACUGACGCUGAGAAGCGAAAGCGUGGGUAGCGAACAGGAUUAGAUACCCUGGUAGUCCACGCCGUAAACGGUGGGUACUAGGUGUGGGUUUCCUUCCACGGGAUCCGUGCCGUAGCUAACGCAUUAAGUACCCCGCCUGGGGAGUACGGCCGCAAGGCUAAAACUCAAAGGAAUUGACGGGGGCCCGCACAAGCGGCGGAGCAUGUGGAUUAAUUCGAUGCAACGCGAAGAACCUUACCUGGGUUUGACAUACACCAGAAAGCCGUAGAGAUACGGCCCCCCUUGUGGUUGGUGUACAGGUGGUGCAUGGCUGUCGUCAGCUUGUCGUGAGAUGUUGGGUUAAGUCCCGCAACGAGCGCAACCCUUAUCUUAUGUUGCCAGCGCGUAAUGGCGGGGACUCGUGAGAGACUGCCGGGGUCAACUCGGAGGAAGGUGGGGACGACGUCAAGUCAUCAUGCCCCUUAUGUCCAGGGCUUCACACAUGCUACAAUGGCCGGUACAGAGGGCUGCGAUACCGUGAGGUGGAGCGAAUCCCUUAAAGCCGGUCUCAGUUCGGAUCGGGGUCUGCAACUCGACCCCGUGAAGUUGGAGUCGCUAGUAAUCGCAGAUCAGCAACGCUGCGGUGAAUACGUUCCCGGGCCUUGUACACACCGCCCGUCACGUCAUGAAAGUCGGUAACACCCGAAGCCGGUGGCCUAACC
Molecule: ribosomal RNA, 1364 nt
Filed under: Nocardia sp.
Lineage: Bacteria; Bacillati; Actinomycetota; Actinomycetes; Mycobacteriales; Nocardiaceae
Description: bacterial SSU rRNA
Rfam family: Bacterial small subunit ribosomal RNA
Source: RNAcentral